Long non-coding RNA from Diceros bicornis minor, 1534 nucleotides. RefSeq lists it as uncharacterized. The record is from RefSeq and is a predicted model, not a curated record. The transcript is spliced from 3 exons. NCBI's taxonomy places the organism in Eukaryota, Metazoa, Chordata, Mammalia, Perissodactyla, Rhinocerotidae.
GGUCCCGCCUCAUAAGGAGCCAGGCCCCGCCCCUAACGAGGCAGGCCGCACCCCCGACCUGGGAAUUGAGGAGUACCGCCCGGGAAGGAGUGAGUGGACCGUUCCCGGGCUGGGACGCUGGAUUUGGGGGGACCUGUGAAUCCAGCUAGCGGCCCCAGUUUUUCCACCUGAAAUGGAAUGAAAUAUUAAAGGGCGUGGCAACAUUGGAGAUGGUGCAGCUGGCAUCCGGCCCGCCGGCUGCAGGAGCUGGGCAGUCGGGCAGAGGAGGUACCUGGGGCGUGGAAGUGGCCACAGCGCAAUGACCAUCCCUGCCUGUCCCUAUGGCGCCCCGCUCCCAUGGUUCAGCCUUCUGAUUUCAUCUUGCACCAAAUGAGCCCCUGGGCGCUCAGCCAGCGGAUGUUCCGCAGCCUCUUGCCGCGUGGGAGAGCCUUGGACUCGCGCAAACGCCUCCAAUAGGACGCCAAGAAUGUGUCCAUUCUCCUCUCCCCGGCCAUCAGCGCUCUCGGCCAGUCCAACCUGCUCUCCGCGGAAACAGUCAGCACCAACCUCACUCUGUAAGAGGCAGCUGGGCCCAGGUGGACCUUCUCCACUUCACUCCCACCCCUACCCUGCGCUCCUGUCGGGGUGGGGAGCUGGCAGCAUGGGUGUGUGUGGGGGGAGUGGACACUGCUGAGGGUGUCUAGGUGAGGAAGAGACGCCUCCAGGAAGGUUCUCAGAGUGAGCCCCAGGAGGCUGCAUUAGCUCGCAGACUUCUGUGCCAACUUGUGUCUGCUCUCAGCCCUUUGCCAAUUUGGGAUACUUGGGUCUGGGGACCUGUGGGGGCCUUCCUGCUCCUCUCCUGGAUCCCUCUCCCCCUCCCUCACCCCUGACCCCCACUCUCCUGUCCACAACUGGUUGCUGAGUACAGUGAGCUGCCCCCGAAACUCGCUAAUGACCUUGCUGACUGGUGUGUCCAUGGCUGUAGUCUAUGUAGCUGGCAUCGCUGUAAUGAAGUUCUAAAAUUUGAGAGGUGUUGACUGGUUAUGCUGGACAUUCUCAACAUCCUGUGGAUGUAAAUCAUCGUGCUGUCCAGGGCCUGAGACAGGGGAACCCUCAUGCUCCAGAGCAGAGUGUGGGAAGGGAUUGAAGAGAUGUGCAAGAGCUUCCCUCAACCGUGCUACAGACUUGGGCCAGGGCCACAGUGGGGGAGGUUGUCCCUGGGAGCCUGAGGCUGUGCCCACCCCACCAGGAGAAGGCUUAGACUCACUCAACAGGUAUUUAUUGAGUGCCCCCUUUGUACCAGGCACUGUUCAAAGCAUUGAGGAACAGGAGUGAGCAAAAAAAGAUUCCUGACCGUGGGGAGCUGGCAUUCUAGUGGAGGAGAUGGACAAAAGACCCAUGUUCUAUAGAAAUAUUUUACAACUAUUCGUAGCUUGAAAAAAAUUAAGUACAACUUCAAAACUGUUUAGGAUAUGACUUUGUCUAUCAUCUUGUUAACCUUAAUCUAUUUUGAACUUGGAACAUGUGACCUUUUGAAAUGAACAGCAUUUUCUUU